CUGGGAGUGAUGACGACUUGACUUGUGAGAACGAUCUGUGAUGUUUCAGUAUUCAUACUGUCUGACCCGC
Conger conger (European conger) is the source of this 70-nucleotide small nucleolar RNA. Lineage: Eukaryota; Metazoa; Chordata; Actinopteri; Anguilliformes; Congridae. The record is from RefSeq and is a predicted model, not a curated record.